GGCCGAUCUCAGAAAUCGAAGAGGCACCUACUUUUCCAGCCUUGUUAGCAUCUGUCACACGCACACUCAGCUUUGCGGAAAUUAUGGGCAUUCUGUCGAAGACUUCUGGGGAAGUAGAAAACACAUGAAUCUUACUGUCCAAUCACCCACUUCCCACACGCAGCAAUAGCUCAUGGGUACCACAGAUAACUUUGCCAAAGUCCUCUGCCAAAGUUGAGCACAUGAAGCUUGCAGCUCCCACUACAUCGCUCUGACCAAGAAGGGUAAAAGAAUAGCAAAGAAACAGCACUAACAAAGUUUAGACCCAUAAAUUUUGAAGGUCUAGCUACCAUAUUAUUACCCACAAGGGUAAAGGAACAAUACCACUGUUGGAUAAUUGGAAAGUCCCUGUGUGUCAACCUCUGUGCCUCGUGGCAAGGUAGACUAGCAAACAUGCCCAACCUUUACUCACAUUCGAGAAAACACUCCCAAUAAGAUUGCUUGCUCCAAAAUCGAAGAGGCACCGUCCUCCGAAUCUCGAGAGCCAGACUCCCAACAUGACUACUUUCUCAAAAAUCGAAGAGAGGGUAAAGGAACAGUACCAUUGCUGGAUAAUUGGAAAGUCCCUGUGUGUCAACCUCUGUGCUUCGUGGCAAGGUAGACUAGCAAACAUGCCCAACCUUUACUCACAUUCGAGAAAACACUCCCAACAAGAUUGCUUGCUCCAAAAUCGAAGAGGCACCGCCCUCCGAAUCUCGAGAGCCAGACUCCCAACAUGAUUACUUUCUCAAAAAUCGAAGAGACACUGCUCCCACGAAUCUCGAGAGCCAGACCCCCAGCAUGAUUGCUUUCUCAAAAAUCGAAGAGGCAUCGUUCUCCGAAUCAAUCGAAGAGGCGCUCGCUUUCUCUUAAAAGCUGGGCUGCUCAGAGACCACGAGGGCCGAUCUCAGAAAUCGAAGAGGCACCUUCUUUUCUAGCCUUGUCAGCACCUGUCACACGCACACUCAGCUUUGCGGAAAUUAUGGGCAUUCUGUCGAAGACUUCUGGUGAAGUAGAAAGCACAUGAAUCUUACUGUUCAAUCACCCACUUCCCACACGCAACAAUAGCUCAUGGGUACCACAGAUAACUUUGUCAAAGUCUCUGCCAAAGUUGAGCACGUGAAGCUUGCAGCUCCCACAACAUCGCUCUGACCAAGAAAGGUAAAAGAAUAGCAAAGAAACAGCACUAACAAAGUUUAGACACAUAAAUUUUGAAGGUCUAGCUACCAUAUUAUUACCCACAAGGGUAAAGGAACAGUACCACUGCUGGAUAAUUGGAAAGUCCCUGUGUGUCAACCUCCGUGCUUCGUGG
This 1330-nucleotide long non-coding RNA is filed under the name Malus domestica (apple). RNAcentral describes it as "long non-coding RNA (MDOM_LNC003732)". Lineage: Eukaryota; Viridiplantae; Streptophyta; Magnoliopsida; Rosales; Rosaceae. The record is from RNAcentral.